RNAcentral lists this long non-coding RNA (288 nucleotides) under Mytilus galloprovincialis (Mediterranean mussel). Lineage: Eukaryota; Metazoa; Mollusca; Bivalvia; Mytilida; Mytilidae. The record is from RNAcentral.
AAUUUUUCUCAUUUGAAAUUUCAUAAAUUAAAAAGAAAAUUUCUUCAAACAUUUUUUUGAGAGGAUUAAUAUUCAACAGCAUAGUGAAUUGCUCUAAGAGAAAACAAAAAUUUUAAGUUCAUUAGAACACAUUCAUUCUGUGUCAGAAACCUAUGCUGUGUCAACUAUUUAAUCACAAUCCAAAUUUAGAGCUGAAUCCAGCUUGAAUGUUGUGUCCAUACUUGCCCCAACCGUUCAGGGUUCAACCUCUGGGGUCGUAUAAAGCUGCGCCCUGCGGAGCAUCUGGUU